UACCCCCCCCGAAGGGGGGGGUUAGAGCAGCCAUCAUUUAAAGAAAGCGUAAUAGCUCACUGGUCGAGUCGGCCUGCGCGGAAGAUGUAACGGGGCUAAACCAUGCACCGAAGCUGCGGCAGCGACACUAUGUGUUGUUGGGUAGGGGAGCGUUCUGUAAGCCGUCGAAGGUGUGCUGUGAGGCAUGCUGGAGGUAUCAGAAGUGCGAAUGCUGACAUAAGUAACGAUAAAGCGGGUGAAAAGCCCGCUCGCCGGAAGACCAAGGGUUCCUGUUCAACGUUAAUCGGAGCAGGGUGAGUCGACCCCUAAGGCGAGGCCGAAAGGCGUAGUCGAUGGGAAACAGGUUAAUAUUCCUGUACUCGGUGUUACUGCGAAGGGGGGACGGAGAAGGCUAUAUCAGCCGGGCGACGGUUGUCCCGGUUUAAGCGUGUAGGCGGAGUGUCCAGGUAAAUCCGGACGCUUGUUAACGCUGAGGCGUGACGACGAGGCACUACGGUGCUGAAGUGAUAAAUGCCCAGCUUCCAGGAAAAGCCUCUAAGCAUCAGGUAACACAGAAUCGUACCCCAAACCGACACAGGUGGUCAGGUAGAGAAUACCAAGGCGCUUGAGAGAACUCGGGUGAAGGAACUAGGCAAAAUGGUGCCGUAACUUCGGGAGAAGGCACGCUGGCGCGUAGGUGGAGGGACUUGCUCCCCGAGCCGAAGCCAGUCGAAGAUACCAGCUGGCUGCAACUGUUUAUUAAAAACACAGCACUGUGCAAACACGAAAGUGGACGUAUACGGUGUGACGCCUGCCCGGUGCCGGAAGGUUAAUUGAUGGGGUUAUCCGCAAGGAGAAGCUUCUUGAUCGAAGCCCCGGUAAACGGCGGGCCGUAACUAUAACGGUCCUAAAGUAGCGAAUCUGUGGGGGGAAGGAUGAGUGUAGAGUGAA
RNAcentral lists this ribosomal RNA (930 nucleotides) under Pantoea agglomerans. RNAcentral describes it as "partial 23S ribosomal RNA". It matches the Rfam family "Bacterial large subunit ribosomal RNA", at positions 1086 to 1996 of the family's 2925-position model. The record is from RNAcentral. Lineage: Bacteria; Pseudomonadati; Pseudomonadota; Gammaproteobacteria; Enterobacterales; Erwiniaceae.